This 445-nucleotide ribosomal RNA is filed under the name uncultured bacterium. Its description in RNAcentral is "SSU rRNA". It matches the Rfam family "Bacterial small subunit ribosomal RNA", at positions 26 to 518 of the family's 1533-position model. The record is from RNAcentral.
AGAACGAACGCUGGCGGCAGGCUUAACACAUGCAAGUCGAACGCCCCGCAAGGGGAGUGGCAGACGGGUGAGUAACGCGUGGGAACAUACCCCUCGGUUCGGAAUAGCUCAGGGAAACUUGGAUUAAUACCGAAAUACGGCCGAGAGGCGAAAGAUUUAUCGCCGAGGGAUUGGCCCGCGUCCGAUUAGCUAGUUGGUGAGGUAAUGGCUCACAAAGGCGACGAUCGGUAGCUGGUCUGAGAGGAUGAUCAGCCACAUUGGGACUGAGACACGGCCCAAAACUCCUACGGGAGGCAGCAGUGGGGAAUAUUGGACAAUGGGCGAAAGCCUGAUCCAGCCAUGCCGCGUGAGUGAUGACGGCCUUAGGGUUGUAAAGCUCUUUCGGCGGGACGAUAAUGACGGUACCCGCAGAAGAAGCCCCGGCUAACUUCGCGCCAGCAGCCGC